Molecule: long non-coding RNA, 524 nt
Organism: Parus major (Great Tit)
Lineage: Eukaryota; Metazoa; Chordata; Aves; Passeriformes; Paridae
Exons: 3
Source: RefSeq, a predicted model, not a curated record
UGCAUGUGCAUAUGAUUGCCUGCCCACAUUUAGAAACUGGCCACUAAGAGAAAUGUUGACUAGAUAUUCAUUACCAUUCUGAAGCUCUCUGCACUGUAUACAUGACAAGAAAAUGCAAUUAUAAAGAGGGUUACUUUGUUCUUUCAGCUUUCUGGUUUUGAUGGAGUAAGAACAUAAGAAUGCUGAUUCAAAAUACACCCUCUGAGGCCAAACUUGACCUCUCCUCAAACACUUCUGCUAGGCUCAAAGAGACUGAUCCACAGGGAUCAAUGUCAAAGGAAGGUGCUCAGGGUCCAGGGUCUGGGAUGCUGAAUAUGGCAGUUUUUCAAGGUGAAAUAGCAACACAGAGGAAGAUGUUUUUAAAGUAGAAGUACUUGCCUGAUUCUCCUGUCACUGCUCAAUGACAUGCAUUUAUGUAUACUAUUUAAAGCUGUGUUAAAUGCAAAAAUAUGUGUAGUCUGUGACACCCAGCUCAACAGAUAUUAAAAGAUCCCGGUCUGUGGUAGUCAUUUAACUUGUUCUUU